Pipistrellus kuhlii (Kuhl's pipistrelle) is the source of this 1019-nucleotide long non-coding RNA. RefSeq lists it as uncharacterized. The transcript has 3 exons. Lineage: Eukaryota; Metazoa; Chordata; Mammalia; Chiroptera; Vespertilionidae. The record is from RefSeq and is a predicted model, not a curated record.
UGCAUGUUUUUAGAAUGGGAUCUUUAACUCAGCCAUUUGAAGCCUCAAAGGCUGGGUUUUUUAAGAAGCUUUGUUUCUCCUUUUUACUUAUAUUCAGUUCAAAGUGUGAUCUAUGAUUUCCUGAUGGUCCCUGAAACCAUUUUAGGGAAUCUGCAAGGUAAAAACUAUAUUCAUAUUACUAUUAAGAUGUUAUUUAUCUUUUCACUCUGUUGACAUUUAUACUAAUUAUAUAACUUGGCACCUUUGCAGGCAUCAAAGCCAUAGCAUCAGACUGGCAGUAGUCAUUUUCCACCACCCAGACUCUUAGUUCAGACACAAAACACAUUGAUAAAGUCCUAAAAAGUAUUAAUUUUAUUAAAUCUUCUUACUUAUUGUUGAAAAUGAAUCUCAGUAAAUGUUACCAGUGAUAAAUUUUGACUUUUCAAAUGAAAAUUAGAAUUUUAUUGAGCUUGUAUCUACUGUAAGCAUGAUAACUUCCCAGUACUUAAAAAACUUUUCGGAUGAAAUCGUUAAUAUUAAUAAUAUGAUUUUUUAUUGUAUUAAUAGAUUCAUCAACAUCUGUAGGAUUUUCAUAAUUCAGUGAAUCAAUAUUUCCAAUUUCAUCAUGUUAUGAAAUAAUUGCAUGGAUAAGAAAUUUAUUUAAAAUUCAAGAUAGACAAACAGAUUGUAAAAUCUCAGAAUAUGAAAAGUUUAUUUCUGUUCAUCGAUAUUGGUUUCAAUUCCAUAUUGCUAACCAUUUGUUGAGUUUUUGGGUAGUGUCUGAAACAUCUAUUAAAAUACUCCUUUUUCCAACUUCAUAUUUGUGAGGCCAGAUUUCCUUAUACUUCAACCAAACAACAUAUUGCUACAAAGUAUACGUAGAAGCAGUUAGAAUUCAGGUUCUUCUAUUAAGCCAGAUAUUAAAGAGAUUUGCAAGAUCAUAAAAUAGUGCCACUGUUCUCACAAACUCUUUUUUUAUUUUGAAAAAUAUGGUUAUUUUUCAUAAAAUGUUAUUGAUGUUUAUAUAAUGAUCCUAUUUG